GGGGAAUUUUCCGCAAUGGGCGAAAGCCUGACGGAGCAAGACCGCGUGGGGGAAGAAGGCUCUUGGGUUGUAAACUCCUUUUCUCUGGGAAGAACAAAAUGACGGUACCAGAGGAAUCAGCAUCGGCUAACUCCGUGCCAGCAGCCGCGGUAAGACGGAGGAUGCAAGCGUUAUCCGGAAUGAUUGGGCGUAAAGCGUCCGCAGGUGGCAGUUUAAGUCUGCUGUCAAAGACCGGGGCUCAACCUCGGAAAGGCAGUGGAUACUGAACAGCUAGAGUAUGGUAGGGGCAAAGGGAAUUCCUGGUGUAGCGGUGAAAUGCGUAUAGA
This 326-nucleotide ribosomal RNA is filed under the name uncultured cyanobacterium. RNAcentral's name for it is "bacterial SSU rRNA". It matches the Rfam family "Bacterial small subunit ribosomal RNA", at positions 356 to 696 of the family's 1533-position model. The record is from RNAcentral. Lineage: Bacteria; Bacillati; Cyanobacteriota.